This 463-nucleotide unclassified non-coding RNA is filed under the name Hevea brasiliensis (rubber tree). The record is from RNAcentral. Lineage: Eukaryota; Viridiplantae; Streptophyta; Magnoliopsida; Malpighiales; Euphorbiaceae.
GCAAUAUAGAAAAGUCCAACUGCACUAUUUCAAUGGCUAAUAUGUGAGCUAUAUCAGAUCAGCUCCUUGAAGCUAAAGUUCUUACUUUUAUCAUGAAUUUCAGAUGAUGGACCAUUAAAAAUAUUGGUGACUCCAUGUAGUGGAUUGACAAAAAAUUCAAGAAGCCCUUGCAAGAAAACUCUAAUGAACUUUCCUUUUCUAGCGCAAAUAACAAUCAACUUAUAAAUGAUGGUUCCAUUAAAUAUAAAGAGGGAGAUUUUAUAAAUUCAGUAGUGAGAUUUAAAGUAAAAGGGAGAAUCCCAUAUACUGCAGUGGCAUGAGUUGUUGAAAAGAGUUGCUAUCUAUGUCACAAGGUUAAGUCUAAGACAACAAUAUCCAUUAUUGACAUUUGAAUGAGCUGCAGCUUAUUAGCUUAUCCUCACAGAAGGCAUUAGCGAGUAAUGGAAUCAGAUUCAUAUGAUCU